Molecule: ribosomal RNA, 397 nt
Filed under: uncultured Neocallimastigomycetes
Lineage: Eukaryota; Fungi; Neocallimastigomycota; Neocallimastigomycetes
Description: eukaryotic LSU rRNA
Rfam family: Eukaryotic large subunit ribosomal RNA
Source: RNAcentral
GUUUUACCUUGACGAAUUGUAGUUUAAAGAAGUGUUUUCUGUUGAAGUUUUGGUAAAAGUUCUUUGGAAUAGGACAUCAUAGAGGGUGAGAAUCCCGCUUUUGACCAUUAUUUUCAGCUGUGUGAUACACUUUCAAAGAGUCGGAUUGUUUGGGAAUGCAGUCCAAAAUGGGUGGUAAAUUUCAUCUAAAGCUAAAUAUUGGCGAGAGACCGAUAGCGAACAAGUACCGUGAGGGAAAGAUGAAAAGAACUUUGAAAAGAGAGUUAAACAGUACGUGAAAUUGUCAAAAGGGAAGCGUUUGACACCAGUGUUGUUUUCUCGAAAAUCAAUUAAAAAAAGUUGGAUUUUGUGUUGUAUUGACCUUAACAGCUUUCUGCACUCUUUUCCUGCUUUUUUU